GACGAACGCUGGCGGCGUGCCUAACACAUGCAAGUCGAACGGAGAUCUCCUCAACGGACGCAUUUAUGUGGAAGAUGGGGAAAAUCUUAGUGGCGGACGGGUGAGUAACGCGUGAGCAACCUGGCCUUUGGAGGGGGAUAACAACGGGAAACCGUUGCUAAUACCGCAUAAUGUGCUUAUGGGGCAUCCCAUGAGUAAGAAAGGAAUUUAUUCCACCGAAGGAUGGGCUCGCGUCCCAUUAGGUAGAUGGCGGGGUAACGGCCCACCAUGCCAACGAUGGGUAGCCGGACUGAGAGGUUGAACGGCCACACUGGGACUGAGACACGGCCCAGACUCCUACGGGAGGCAGCAGUGGGGAAUAUUGGGCAAUGGGGGAAACCCUGACCCAGCAACGCCGCGUGAAGGAAGAAGGUUUUCGGAUUGUAAACUUCUGUCCUUGGGGAAGAAGAAGUGACGGUACCCAAGGAGGAAGCCCCGGCUAACUACGUGCCAGCAGCCGCAGUAAAAC
Molecule: ribosomal RNA, 508 nt
Filed under: uncultured bacterium
Lineage: Bacteria
Description: bacterial SSU rRNA
Rfam family: Bacterial small subunit ribosomal RNA
Source: RNAcentral